This 253-nucleotide ribosomal RNA is filed under the name uncultured prokaryote. RNAcentral describes it as "partial 16S ribosomal RNA". It matches the Rfam family "Bacterial small subunit ribosomal RNA", at positions 524 to 776 of the family's 1533-position model. The record is from RNAcentral.
UACGUAGGCAGCGAGCGUUGUUCGGAGUUACUGGGCGUAAAGGGUGUGUAGGCGGUCGUUUAAGUUUGGUGUGAAAUCUCCCGGCUCAACUGGGAGGGUGCGCCGAAUACUGAAUGACUAGAGUGCGGGAGAGGGAAGUGGAAUUCCUGGUGUAGCGGUGAAAUGCGUAGAUAUUCGGAAGAACACCAGUGGCGAAGGCGACUUACUGGUCCAUGACUGACGCUGAGGCUCGAAAGCGUGGGGAGCAAACAGG